GACGAACGCUGGCGGCGUGCUUAACACAUGCAAGUCGAACGGAAAGGCCCUGCUUUUGUGGGGUGCUCGAGUGGCGAACGGGUGAGUAACACGUGAGUAACCUGCCCUUGACUUUGGGAUAACUUCAGGAAACUGGGGCUAAUACCGGAUAGGAGCUCCUGCUGCAUGGUGGGGGUUGGAAAGUUUCGGCGGUUGGGGAUGGACUCGCGGCUUAUCAGCUUGUUGGUGGGGUAGUGGCUUACCAAGGCUUUGACGGGUAGCCGGCCUGAGAGGGAGACCGGCCACAGUGGGACUGAGAGGCGGCCCGGAGUGCUACGGGAGGCAUCGGUGGGGAAUAUUGCACAAUGGGCGGAAGCCGGAUGCAGGGACGCCGCGUGCGGAAUGACGGCCGUCGGGUUGUAAACCGCUUGCGCCUGUGACGAAGCGUGAGUGACGGUAAUGGAUAAAGAAGCACCGGCUAACUACGUG
Molecule: ribosomal RNA, 468 nt
Filed under: uncultured bacterium
Lineage: Bacteria
Description: partial 16S ribosomal RNA
Rfam family: Bacterial small subunit ribosomal RNA
Source: RNAcentral